GCACUCACUUUAGUAGUCCAUGGACUGAAAUGGGAACAAUACAGAGAUUAGCAUGGCUCCUGCACAAGGAGACACACACAUUCAUGAAGCAUCUCACAUUUUU
Molecule: small nuclear RNA, 103 nt
Organism: Artibeus jamaicensis (Jamaican fruit-eating bat)
Lineage: Eukaryota; Metazoa; Chordata; Mammalia; Chiroptera; Phyllostomidae
Source: RefSeq, a predicted model, not a curated record